ACCACUCUUUCCUAGAAGGGUGAGGGAUUUCCCUCUUUGCCCUUCAGAGGGAUUCUUCCCUCCCUCUCCUUUCUCUCUUUGGCCUUUCCACAGUGUAACCCUAGUACUCCUCAGACUACUGAAGUUCUGGCCGGGUCAUCUCCCUCAUGUGGUCCAAAGUCUGAGGCAACAGGUCAGACUGCCCAGGCGUGUGAGGGCAAAGGACUGCUUUCCCCUCCUCUGACACUCCAUCUGUAACUUGUCUAGGGUGAGUCUGCACACUCUACGGACCCAGUUGGGACACUUUCAUGAUACUGGCUGACUCUCAACUGCUGUGUUUCUUUCGCCACGCCCCCCACUUUUCCUUCGUUCCUGGAGAUCCAGCUGCCAUCUUGAUCUAUAGGCAAAACACAUUCUGACGUGUCUGAAUGGCCUUUGAUUACUUAAGACAGUUAAAACCUCUCAAUGUUAAAGGAGCUACGUUUUGGAAAGAAUUGUGUGGCUUCCUGGAGAAUCUCUUACUGCCACCUUCAUUAUGUGUCUCAUCACACCUUCUCUAAGAAAUACCUUCCUCUUCAAGAAACGCAGGCAGAGGCAGAGUGCUUACUGUCGAAUGAAGUAUGCUCCCACACAGGUGGCUAGGGGCAACUAACUCAGGUCUGGUGAUGGUGGAAGGAUUGGAUGCAGCUGGGGCUGACCACUUGCUAUAUAUAUGCCAUGGCCCAUGCUUCCGUGGAAGAACUGCACGAACUUCCAGGCCACCUA
Molecule: long non-coding RNA, 744 nt
Organism: Lynx canadensis (Canada lynx)
Lineage: Eukaryota; Metazoa; Chordata; Mammalia; Carnivora; Felidae
Exons: 3
Source: RefSeq, a predicted model, not a curated record